RNAcentral lists this ribosomal RNA (443 nucleotides) under uncultured bacterium. Its description in RNAcentral is "bacterial SSU rRNA". It matches the Rfam family "Bacterial small subunit ribosomal RNA", at positions 355 to 796 of the family's 1533-position model. The record is from RNAcentral.
UAGGGAAUAUUGGACAAUGGGUGCAAGCCUGAUCCAGCCAUGCCGCGUGCAGGAAGACGGCCUUCUGGGUUGUAAACUGCUUUUGCCAGGGGAUAAAAAUUCCAUGCGUGGAAGAUUGAAGGUACCUGGUGAAUAAGCCACGGCUAACUACGUGCCAGCAGCCGCGGUAAUACGUAGGUGGCAAGCGUUGUCCGGAUUUAUUGGGUUUAAAGGGUGCGUAGGCGGUCCUGUAAGUCAGUUGUGAAAUACGGCAGCUUAACUGUCGAGGUGCAAUUGAUACUGCAGGACUUGAGUACUGAUGAGGUAGGCGGAAUGGACGGUGUAGCGGUGAAAUGCUUAGAGAUCGUCCAGAACACCGAUAGCGAAGGCAGCUUACUAAGGAGUAACUGACGCUGAGGCACGAAAGUGUGGGGAUCAAACAGGAUUAGAUACCCGCGUAGUCC